AGCUUUGCGCAGUGGCAGUAUCGUAGCCAAUGAGGUUUAUCCGAGGCGCGAUUAUUGCUAAUUGCUAAUGAGUCUAAUGCUACUUCCAGAACCCGUGCUGGUCUGACUGCUAGGACAGUUUACUCAUACUCCUAUAGCAG
RNAcentral lists this small nuclear RNA (140 nucleotides) under Neogale vison (American mink). RNAcentral describes it as "Neovison vison (American mink) U4 spliceosomal RNA (ENSNVIG00000015405.1)". It matches the Rfam family "U4 spliceosomal RNA". Rfam says of the family: U4 small nuclear RNA (U4 snRNA) is a component of the major U2-dependent spliceosome. The record is from RNAcentral. Lineage: Eukaryota; Metazoa; Chordata; Mammalia; Carnivora; Mustelidae.